Molecule: long non-coding RNA, 3491 nt
Organism: Dermochelys coriacea (leatherback sea turtle)
Lineage: Eukaryota; Metazoa; Chordata; Testudines; Dermochelyidae
Exons: 7
Source: RefSeq, a predicted model, not a curated record
GUUGUGCUUGCAUGCAUGUGCACAGCAGCUGAUUUUUACAAGUUGGAUGUGAGAAGAUCUAUAAGAGGGACUGAAUUCCAUGAGUGACUACCGUGCAGUAACAAUACUGAUGAGAUGCAGCAGUACUGAACUAUCAGAUUCUUCAGUCUGCUUGCCUACUUUCACAUAAUUGGUGGCAACUUCCAAUUCUUGGAAGCUUUCAUGCUUCUGUUCUUUUUUUCCCUUCCCCGAAUUGUGUCUAGUAUUUGGAUAUGCCCCUUCCCUCACACAUGGAAAAAAUCUCUAAGAAAAAUAUGGACUAAGGACAGAGUUACUGAAAUGGUGGCCCAUGUUCCUAUAUUGUCCUCUGUAAUACAGAAACCUGGUGUUCCCACUAUGCUUUACCUUUAUAGAUUUUAAAACUAAUGUACCUUCUUUUCCAGCUUUCUUCAACCAGUGAUUCAUUGAAACGACAAACUCAGGCUUGUUACUCUGCUGGGAAGUUGCCUGUUUUAAUAAAACAUAGCAAAGUGCUCUUUAGCUCUGAUUACUGUGCUCAUACUCCCCACGCUGAUGUUCUUUCUGGCCUGAUGUGACCAGUAACGCUAAAAGGGUCUCAUUUUGUGGCUGGCUAGACCAUAGUUUUGAAGAUGGCCAGGAUAUUCUGGUGCAAUUUGGGAGACCCACAUUUUAACGGCAAAUCCUGACUUCAGUGUAGGCCUUAGAGGCCAUUUCACUAUACCACAGCCCAUCAGCUGAGAGAUUGAAGUACUGGCAGUGAUUGCGUCCUGGUCAAAAAAACAACUUUCUGCCCUUCAUUCAUGUGGAAAACACAAUCCAAGUGAACAGAAGAUGGCUUCAAAGAACCCUGAUCAGAAGGCAAAACAGAAUAAAGAGAUGUCUCUUCUGAACCACAAAGGUUCUUACGCCAUGCCCAUCAACACAAGAACAAGAGCCCAGUGGUCCAUCUGGUUGGGUAUCCGGUCUCUGACAGUGCCAAGUACAAGCUGCUUUGGCAGAAGAAACCUUAGGGAACUAAGCACCAAAAAAGGAUUCGUAUGCAUGUCUCUAGGAGCAGGAUUGCGGGAGACAAUUCUUAACUCUCUCUGAGCCCGUUUGCAGCUAAGGAUCCCAAGUGGAAGAAGGAAUCUUAUCUGUGGCUCAUCAGCCAGACACAGCAGUAGUACCCAGAUGCCCCAACUCAGAUCACAGCCCCACUGCACAAAAAGAUCAGGAAGGCUGCAACAUGCUCCAUGUAUAUUCCAAGCUGCAAACUGGACUGAUAGAGUAUUAUUUGAGAAAUGGUAUGUGACAUCAUAAUACUGAAUUAUAAUAUAUAUGCCAAAGAGGAUGGAGUUAAAGUUAUACAUCCACCCUUAAUUUUGUAAUUUCCUGAUUUAAGUGGUUUGCUUGAAAUCUAUUAUCUAGCUAUUGUUAGGGAAAAUAUAUAUCCAAGGGAAAGUAUUGUUAUCGAAGUCUUAAACUAUGUAAAGAUCCAUUUCUUAUUCCAAAAAGUGGAAAAAACAGAAAAGGGGUGAUGUAGAUUUUCUCUGAACAUCCCUGAAAAAUAGAAUAAAAAAUGUGGAGUUAGGGAGAAAACUGAGGUAGUUACUGCAGUGUGGAGGGAGCGGAUACUAUAGCAAGACUUGGCUACUUUUUAAAAGUAAACAUCAGGAAGGGAAUUCUCCAAGGUUAAAAAAAUAAUUUUAUUUACAUACAGUAGCUUCAGCAAACACACAGGAAGCGAGUCAGUGCAGCUUGUAGCGCUACACAAAUAAGGAACAGACAAGAGGAGACUUAUUAAAGGCUGACGAGCAUGUAAAACAGGAGGUAAUGAAUUUACAAAAGCAAUAAUUUUGACAAUGGAGCAGUCAACCAAGCGUGGGUCACUUGGCCCUAUCACUGAAAACAGAGAUUAGAUAUGAAGAGAAUAAUCCAAGCUAGGAGAAGGGGAUUGAAUUUGCCGAGGGCACUUCAGCUGUAGAUUCCUUUUAACGAGUUUGACUGUUUAAGUAGAAUAAUUUCAGAUUUUCCCAGGAGAUGGAAAAUGGCAGCCCUUGAGCAUUCUAACAAAAAGUCAAAAGGGUAAAGUUUUGUUUUAAUAGAUUAGCAUGGAUGAACUCCACUAUUUUUCAAUCACACAGAUGGUCUAGAAAAAUAUUGAGAAAACCAGUCUAAAUGCUGUUCUCAUCACUUUCUAGAUCAAGCCAGUUUCCAACCAAAAGUUACAUAGCGUAUUAAGUCCAUCCACAAGUUUUCUCCAUACGGAAACUGCCUUUCACCCCUCACCAGCCAAACCGUGGUUGUCCUGCCGUUCAGUACUAUAAUCCCUGAAAAUGUACUUCAGUAGGACUAGUCCUGUGAACAAGUUACGCACAUGCAUGUUUGCAAGAUGGGGUCCUUCCAUCCAAUUUUAUCCCUUUUUUUUUUUUUUAUCAUAAUGAAGUGUACUGGAAAAUAAGGCAAAAGCUGUCACCUGGUAGGAGAACUAACUUUAAUCCUGGCAGCAAGAAUUAAAGUAGCAGGACUUAGACAAUGAAGAACCCCCACCCCUUGUUAGAUAAAGAUAAAAAAAAUUCCUAGUGUCUUCAAAAGCUAAAAGGUAACUUUUCUGAUGUAUUGCAAUUUAGCUAGAAGUUUAAAAAAAAAAAAAGCUUAAGAUCUAGAGAAAUAAAUAUAGAUGCAAAAUCCCCCUUUUAACAAUUCAAAAAUUCAAUUUACCUAUGCAAGAUAUGAAGAAUUCUUCAUAUAAUUCCAAUUAUUGUUUUAUUGCUUUUCUGCAGUUUCCAAAAUUGGCAUUUUUUCCUGUAAUAAUACAUUUCUGCCAAAUAGACCGUGUUUUCCAAAUAGUAUUUUAGAAGAUUCUCCAAUUUAUUAUUAAAGGAUAUCAAAAUGUGCGUAUAGACCGUGAAUAGUCAAAGUAUUUAAGGUGAAUUUAACAGGAGAAAGUUUAGAAAUUAAAGCUCUUUCAUCCAGCCAAAUGGCCUUAAACCCCUAGAGACAAAAGUUUGGUUUUUUGUUUUUUGUUUUUUUAGAUAUAGCUCUUUAGUAUGGAAAUACUUAUCUUUAUCAUUAAACUCUGAUGUGGGUUCCACUUGAAGUUUCAUUAGGUAAUAUAGCUAAUUAUAAAGACUUCAUCUUUUGUUUUAAAAAAUUUCUAUUCAGGAGAUAGGAAUAGGGUGUUUCCUUGGAUAAAUAUAGCUCCCAGGUGAGGCUACUUCAAUCCUAUAUUUGUUUGUAACACAAAGAACAGGUAUUGCUUAGGUAAUUAUGCAGCACCCAACACUUUUGUUGUCACUCGCCAGCAUGGAUCAUUGCCCAUCUCCUCACUGUAACAGCUACCCUUGCAGCAUCUAUUGCUAUACCAGAGCUGAAAUCUGUAACAUGGGUACAAUCUAAUUGUGGCCCUAACAGUGGGCUCAAACCACAGAAGGCUCCAGCAGCAGUAAGUUGUGUUAUACUAGAGCCAGGUUUAAACACUUAUUUUUGUUGUGUAAAUGAGACUUUGGAGA